AGAACAAACCUACACGAGCAAGGAGGUUAAUGGGGCUGUUUCUGGGUCCAAGCUCCAAGAGGAAGGAGGGUGAUGAUGGUGGGGGGAAUUCAAAUUCGGUGUUCUACUCUCAACCUCUCCCAGCUUCAGGUUCUGCUUUCUCUCUGUUGACAUCAGCUGGACCUCUGCCAGACACUUCUAUCUGGGAGGGACGCUCUGCGUCUCCUUACCCUGGGCCUAGCUUCCCCCAGGAAAUGGGAAGCUAGAAGUCGCUGAGUCUGGGGGUGUUGGGUGAAGGGGGCGGUGAUUUCCACAGGGGUCACCUCCUUCUUAACCUCACAGGCGUCCGACCUGUGGAAAUCUAACAAGCAUAGGGGAAAGCAAAGGCAGCAUCUUAGGAGAGACCCGGGCCACGGAGACAGAGACCCCGGCAUCGCGACCCCCGAGGACCUCCUCUCCUCGCCCUGUGGCACCCACUAGUCCUGGGCACUCAGCCGCGGAGAGCCCCCGACCCCGCGCGCCCAGCCCCGGGGGAGCCCACCUCCGCCCCGCGGCCCGCCCGGGCCAUGCUCCCCCGGGGCA
This 561-nucleotide small RNA is filed under the name Pan troglodytes (chimpanzee). RNAcentral's name for it is "processed transcript". The record is from RNAcentral. Lineage: Eukaryota; Metazoa; Chordata; Mammalia; Primates; Hominidae.